RNAcentral lists this ribosomal RNA (697 nucleotides) under Spazigaster ambulans. RNAcentral's name for it is "SSU rRNA". It matches the Rfam family "Eukaryotic small subunit ribosomal RNA", at positions 380 to 1007 of the family's 1831-position model. Lineage: Eukaryota; Metazoa; Arthropoda; Insecta; Diptera; Syrphidae. The record is from RNAcentral.
AUUCCGGAGAGGGAGCCUGAGAAACGGCUACCACAUCUAAGGAAGGCAGCAGGCGCGUAAAUUACCCACUCCCAGUUCGGGGAGGUAGUGACGAAAAAUAACAAUACAGGACUCAUAUCCGAGGCCCUGUAAUUGGAAUGAGUACACUUUAAAUCCUUUAACAAGGACCUAUUAGAGGGCAAGUCUGGUGCCAGCCGCCGCGGUAAUUCCAGCUCUAAUAGCGUAUAUUAAAGUUGUUGCGGUUAAAACGUUCGUAGUUGAAUUUGUGCUUCAUACGGGUAGUACAAACCAUAAAUGUGGACUGUACAUUACUUUAUGUAUGCAAGCGUAUUACCGGUGGAGUUCUAAUAUAUAAUGAUGCAUUGUGUCUUUAUGUAUACCUCCUAUUUAAACCUGCUUCAGUGCUCUUCAUCGAGUGUUGUUGUGGGCCGGUACAAUUACUUUGAACAAAUUAGAGUGCUUAAAGCAGGCUCCAAAUGCCUGAAUAUUUUGUGCAUGGAAUAAUGAAAUAAGACCUCUGAUCUACUUUCAUUGGUUUUUAGAUCAAGAGGUAAUGAUUAAUAGAAGCAGUUUGGGGGCAUUAGUAUUACGACGCGAGAGGUGAAAUUCUUGGACCGUCGUAAGACUAACUUAAGCGAAAGCAUUUGCCAAAGAUGUUUUCAUUAAUCAAGAACGAAAGUUAGAGGUUCGAAGGCGA